UGGGGAAUAUUGCACAAUGGGGGAAACCCUGAUGCAGCGACGCCGCGUGAACGAAGAAGGUAUUCGUAUCGUAAAGUUCUGUCCUAUGGGAAGAUAAUGACAGUACCAUAGAAGAAAGCUCCGGCUAAAUACGUGCCAGCAGCCGCGGUAAUAAGUAUGGAGCGAGCGUUGUCCGGAAUUAUUGGGCGUAAAGGGUACGCAGGCGGUUUAAUAAGUCGAAUGUUAAAGAUCGGGGCUCAACCCCGCAAAGCAUUGGAAACUGAUAAACUUGAGUAGUGGAGAGGAAAGUGGAAUUCCUAGUGUAGUGGUGAAAUACGUAGAUAUUAGGAGGAAUACCAGUAGCGAAGGCGACUUUCUGGACACAAACUGACGCUGAGGUACGAAAGCGUGGGGAGCAAACAGG
RNAcentral lists this ribosomal RNA (403 nucleotides) under bacterium. RNAcentral describes it as "partial 16S ribosomal RNA". It matches the Rfam family "Bacterial small subunit ribosomal RNA", at positions 355 to 776 of the family's 1533-position model. The record is from RNAcentral.